GAUGAACGCUGGCGGCGUGCUUAACACACGCAAGUCGAACGAAGCACUCUAUUUGAUUUUCUUCGGAAAUGAAGAUUUUGUGACUGAGUGGCGGACGGGUGAGUAACGCGUGGGUAACCUGCCUCAUACAGGGGGAUAACAGUUGGAAACGACUGCUAAUACCGCAUAAGCGCACAGUAUCGCAUGAUACAGUGUGAAAAACUCCGGUGGUAUGAGAUGGACCCGCGUCUGGUUAGCUAGUUGGUGGGGCAACGGCCUACCAAGGCGACGAUCAGUAGCCGACCUGAGAGGGUGACCGGCCACAUUGGGACUGAGACACGGCCCAAACUCCUACGGGAGGCAGCAGUGGGGAAUAUUGCACAAUGGGGGAAACCCUGAUGCAGCGACGCCGCGUGAACGAAGAAGUAUUUCGGUAUGUAAAGUUCUAUCAGCAGGGAAGAUAAUGACGGUACCUGACUAAGAAGCACCGGCUAAAUACGUGCCAGCCGCCGCCGUAA
Molecule: ribosomal RNA, 497 nt
Filed under: uncultured bacterium
Lineage: Bacteria
Description: partial 16S ribosomal RNA
Rfam family: Bacterial small subunit ribosomal RNA
Source: RNAcentral